CUUGCAUAGAAAAGAAUGUUUAUCCCACAGACUCUUCCUUUUUCCCAGCAAUGUUCUCAGGAUUGUAUUUGUCUCUGCCCUAAUUGACCCCACCCCUCACCCUGUAGUCUUUUCCUCAAUCCUCAAUUCUGGAGUUGCAUAGAGUAAAAUUGGGUCUGAACAGACAGGAAUGUGGAACUCUACGUUCCAGUUAGUUAGGGAGUGUGAUCCUGGGAGCUCCAAUGUAUAAACAUCCUUCCCAAGCAAAUAAACUGUCCCAUGGCCAUGCUGAGCUUUGCAACCUGACUCCCCAAAGGACUGUUUAUGUAGCCUGUGGGUAUGUGCUGUGUUCUUCUGGCCUCACACUCACCAAGGGUGUAUUGGCUUGAGGAUGGGGGCUUGGGGAUGGGGGCUGACAUUGGUUUCCACUUUGGGCUCUGUGGAGAGAGAGGAGCUGCCCUAGAGCUCUUCCCAUGGAGUCAAAAGGCUAAGAGACUGCCUUUCCUCUGCCUUCCUGAGUGGCAAGGUAUGCCAGUGAGAAAAAUGAUGUUCUGGCCUUGGAACCACCUCCCAUGGGACCAGAUGCCAAGCUAUGGUGGAGAAAGGAGGAAAAAACAAUGA
Molecule: long non-coding RNA, 600 nt
Filed under: Monodelphis domestica (gray short-tailed opossum)
Lineage: Eukaryota; Metazoa; Chordata; Mammalia; Didelphimorphia; Didelphidae
Description: lncRNA (ENSMODG00000046119.1)
Source: RNAcentral